AUGGAUCUUGCAAUAUCCGCCGUUACAGGUGAUCUUGCCAGCCGAUUCAUCUCUUUCCUCAUGAACAAAUAUGUGGAUCAUCUGUACUCGGAGCAGAAGGUGGAGAGGCUACAGCAACUCUUGUUGAGAGUUCACACGGUCGUGGAGGAGGCAGAUGGACGACACAUCACCAACUCUUGUAUGCUCAUGCAGUUGAAGACGCUAUCAGCAGCAAUGUACCAAGGGUACCAUGUGUUGGACAACAUCAGGCAACAUAAUGGGGCAUCCAAGGACUCGGUGAGCGAUUCAUCUACCUCGUCAGAUUAUAUAAUUCCUUUCAAACGUGCUCGCACAGCCAAUAGUUCUUCGACAAUCAAGGCCUUCAACUGGGAGUUACAAAGUGCACUUCAGAAUCUGGAAGCUGUGGUUGACCACAUGGUGGAGUUUGUCGUGCUUUUGGGCGGAUGCGAGCGCGUCUCCCGUAGACCCUACGACACCUAUCUUCACGUCGACAACUUCUUGUUUGGUCGGCAUGUCGAGAAGCAGCAGAUCAUCAGCUUCUUGCUGCAAGAGAACAUGCCUGGUCCUCCGGCAGUGCUACCAGUCGUCGGUGGACGUGGAGUUGGGAAGAGAACUCUUGUAGCACAUGUAUGCAGGUAUGACAGGGUGCGUUCUCACUUCGCGGUUAUUUUGCACCUGAGUGGAGACGGUCUUACCAAAAUAACAGAUAAUGAAAUUCCGUCAGGGAAGAUACUGGUAGUUGUUGAGUUUGCUUCUGAUGUAGAUGACGAUGACUGGAAAACAUUUUAUUCAACUGUUACGAGCAUGGAUAGAGGAAGCAAAGUGAUAAUCUUAGGCCGAAAUGAAAGCUUGAAGAAAUUUGGGACCGUACAGACUAUUUCUCUGAACCGUCUGGCAUUCGAGGAGUACAAGUACCUGCUCAAGACACUCGCAUUCGGAAGCGCGAACCCAGGAGACCAUCCGCAGUUAGCAGAGAUAGUGGAAGAGUUUGCUGUGGUGUUGGGAGGAUCACUCAUCCCAGGAAACUUGAUUGCACAUGCAGUGAGAAAGAACCUGAAUGCCCAUUUCUGGCUUAGCACAUUGAACAGGAUCAGAAUCACAAUGAAGAUGAACAUUUCCAGGUUUGGCUUCCAUCCAAAUGAGCUUUUGGAUCAAGGCCGUCCGGUACACCUCGGCCGUCAUUACCUCUUGUCUCCUGCUGCUCCCUCUCCUAGCUCUCCAAAUAGCAGUCUACCCAAACUGGUAUUUGGGGACUCGCUAGCAGAAGCAGGCCAUACUGUUCCACCGAAGGGAGAUUUUUGGCUAGUCGCAUGGGAGUCAAGGUUACCCCCAUACACUUCAUUUUCUCAUCUGGUUCGCUUUGUUCCAAGUUGUGUCGAUGAUAAGCCUGAAGCAUCCUUGUCAGGGAAGAAGCGUCUGGGGCCAUCUGCCUAG
RNAcentral lists this ribosomal RNA (1434 nucleotides) under Triticum aestivum (bread wheat). Its description in RNAcentral is "partial small subunit ribosomal RNA". The record is from RNAcentral. Lineage: Eukaryota; Viridiplantae; Streptophyta; Magnoliopsida; Poales; Poaceae.